UCUCCGUUGGUGAACCAGCGGAGGGAUCAUUACUGAGUUACCGCCCUACAACCCUUUGUGAACAUACCUAACUGUUGCUUCGGCGGGCAGAGGUCCCUCGCGGAUCUCUCCCGGCAACGCCCUCACGGGCGGAGCGCCCGCCGGAGGAUACCAAACUCUAUUUUAACGACGUUUCUUCUGAGUGGCACAAGCAAAUAAUUAAAACUUUUAACAACGGAUCUCUUGGUUCU
RNAcentral lists this unclassified non-coding RNA (230 nucleotides) under plant metagenome. RNAcentral describes it as "partial contains small subunit ribosomal RNA, internal transcribed spacer 1, and 5.8S ribosomal RNA". The record is from RNAcentral.